AGAGUUUGAUCAUGGCUCAGGAUGAACGCUAGCGGCAGGCUUAACACAUGCAAGUCGAGGGGUAGAGGUUGCUUGCAACCUUGAGACCGGCGCACGGGUGCGUAACGCGUAUGCAACCUACCUUUUACAGAGGGAUAGCCCAGAGAAAUUUGGAUUAAUACCUCAUAGUAUAUAUCUUUCGCAUGUUAGGUAUAUUAAAGUUCCAACGGUAAAAGAUGGGCAUGCGUCCUAUUAGCUAGAUGGUAAGGUAACGGCUUACCAUGGCUACGAUAGGUAGGGGUCCUGAGAGGGAGAUCCCCCACACUGGUACUGAGACACGGACCAGACUCCUACGGGAGGCAGCAGUGAGGAAUAUUGGACAAUGGGCGCAAGCCUGAUCCAGCCAUGCCGCGUGCAGGAAGAAGCAUCUAUGGUGUGUAAACUGCUUUUGUACAGGAAGAAACAUCCCGACGUGUCGGGACUUGACGGUACUGUAAGAAUAAGGAUCGGCUAACUCCGUGCCAGCAGCCGCGGUAAUACGGAGGAUCCAAGCGUUAUCCGGAAUCAUUGGGUUUAAAGGGUCCGUAGGCGGUUUGGUAAGUCAGUGGUGAAAGCCCGCAGCUCAACUGUGGAACGGCCAUUGAUACUGCCAGACUUGAAUUACAAGGAAGUAACUAGAAUAUGUAGUGUAGCGGUGAAAUGCUUAGAUAUUACAUGGAAUACCAAUUGCGAAGGCAGGUUACUACUUGUGGAUUGACGCUGAUGGACGAAAGCGUGGGGAGCGAACAGGAUUAGAUACCCUGGUAGUCCAA
RNAcentral lists this ribosomal RNA (791 nucleotides) under uncultured bacterium. Its description in RNAcentral is "bacterial SSU rRNA". It matches the Rfam family "Bacterial small subunit ribosomal RNA", at positions 8 to 798 of the family's 1533-position model. The record is from RNAcentral.